This 373-nucleotide ribosomal RNA is filed under the name uncultured Glomeromycotina. Its description in RNAcentral is "LSU rRNA". Lineage: Eukaryota; Fungi; Glomeromycota. The record is from RNAcentral.
UUGAAAGGGAAACGAUUGAAGUCAGUCGUACCUGUGGGUAAUCAGCCUUUUGGGUGUGAUUUUGUGGAGUGUGAGGAGUUAAACGCCUUCAUGCCUGCAUAUUCGUGCACUUUGGGUGUAUUUACCCGUGUGGUAAGUUAACAUCAAUUUCGGUGGUCAUAAAAUGGCUGGAGGAAUGUAGCUUCGAUCUUGUAUUGAAGUGUUAUAGCCUUCGGUAGAUGUGAUGAUCGGGAUUGAGGAUUGCAACGGAUACCCCUCGGGGCUACCUGUCUGAUCUCUGAUCGUUGCUCUGGUGCCGAAAGCUUGCUUACGGUUAUCAAAGUCGAUGGUUAAUAGGUUAGAACGGGUUAAAUUCGUUAAGGAUGUUGACGUA